RNAcentral lists this ribosomal RNA (1363 nucleotides) under uncultured bacterium. Its description in RNAcentral is "16S ribosomal RNA". It matches the Rfam family "Bacterial small subunit ribosomal RNA". The record is from RNAcentral.
UUAGAGUUUGAUCCUGGCUCAGGACGAACGCUGGCGGCGUGCUUAAGACAUGCAAGUCGAACGGGGUCCAUCCUUCGGGAGAAGACCUAGUGGCGAACGGGUGAGUAACACGUGAGGAACCUGCCCCAAAGACAGGGAUAAGCGAGGGAAACUUCGUCUAAUACCUGAUGUCUUCUUUGCAACUCAUGUUGCGUAGAAGAAAUGAUUUAUCGCUUUGGGAGGGCCUCGCGGCCUAUCAGCUUGUUGGUGGGGUAACGGCCUACCAAGGCGUCGACGGGUAGCUGGUCUGAGAGGAUGAUCAGCCACACUGGGACUGAGAUACGGCCCAGACUCCUACGGGAGGCAGCAGUUAGGAAUCUUGCGCAAUGGGCGAAAGCCUGACGCAGCAACGCCGCGUGAGGGAUGAAGGCUCUCGGGUUGUAAACCUCUUUCAGCAGGAACGAAGUUGACGGUACCUGCAGAAGAAGCUCCGGCCAACUACGUGCCAGCAGCCGCGGUAAUACGUAGGGAGCAAGCGUUGUCCGGAUUUAUUGGGCGUAAAGAGCUCGUAGGCGGCUUAGCAAGUCGGGUGUGAAAACUCCAGGCUCAACCUGGAGACGCCACUCGAUACUGCUAUGGCUUGAGUUCGGUAGGGGACCAUGGAAUUCCUGGUGUAGCGGUGAAAUGCGCAGAUAUCAGGAGGAACACCGAUGGCGGAGGCAGUGGUCUGGGCCGAAACUGACGCUGAGGAGCGAAAGCGUGGGUAGCGAACAGGAUUAGAUACCCUGGUAGUCCACGCCGUAAAACGUUGGGUACUAGGUGUGGGAGAUAACCAAUGUCUUCCGUGCCGCAGCUAACGCAUUAAGUACCCCGCCUGGGGAGUACGGUCGCAAGACUAAAACUCAAAGGAAUUGACGGGGGCCCGCACAAGCGGCGGAGCAUGUCGCUUAAUUCGAUGCAACGCGAAAAACCUCACCUAGGUUUGACAUGCAGGGAAAAGCCACAGAGAUGUGGUGUCCUUCGGGGCCCUGCACAGGUGGUGCAUGGCUGUCGUCAGCUCGUGUCGUGAGAUGUUGGGUUAAGUCCCGCAACGAGCGCAACCCUUGUCCUGUGUUGCCAGCGCGUAAUGGCGGGGACUCACAGGAGACUGCCGGGGUCAACUCGGAGGAAGGUGGGGACGAGGUCAAGUCUUCAUGCCCCUUACACCUAGGGCUGCAGACAUGCUACAAUGGCUGGUACAAAGGGCUGCGAGAUCGCGAGGUUGAGCGAAUCCCAUAAAGCCAGUCUCAGUUCGGAUUGGAGUCUGCAACUCGACUCCAUGAAGCUGGAGUCGCUAGUAAUCCCGGAUCAGCAUUGCCGGGGUGAAUACGUUCCCGGGCCUUGU